This 32281-nucleotide long non-coding RNA is filed under the name Coffea arabica (coffee). RNAcentral describes it as "long non-coding RNA (CARA_LNC003026)". Lineage: Eukaryota; Viridiplantae; Streptophyta; Magnoliopsida; Gentianales; Rubiaceae. The record is from RNAcentral.
GAUAAGCGUUUGAAAGAUGGUGUUUUUACUGUCGAUGGGGAUGAGACAGUGCCUGCUUUAAGUGCAGGUUACAUGUGUGCAAAAGGGUGGCGGGGGAAAACUAGAUUCAAUCCUUCAGGAAUCAAAACUUAUGUAAGGGAGUAUGAUCAUGCUCCACCGUCUAAUCUUCUUCUGGAGGGUCGUGGCACCGAGAGUGGUGCGCAUGUUGACAUAAUGGGUAAUUUUGCUCUUAUCGAGGACAUUAUCAGGGUUGCUGCCGGGGCUACCGGCGAGGAGUUGGGAGGUGAUCAGGUGUACUCAGACAUCUUCAAGUGGUCUGAGAAAAUUAAACUACCUCUAUAAGAUGACAUAUAUAUGAAUGCAGGCGAAGACAAAUUUAAAUGCCCUUAGCAUCUGUGGUUGUGAUUUUACACUGGAAUUCAUGCAGCGGUCUUUCUGGAAGUGGUCUGAUUUUACAGUUUUUGUGGUAAUCCAAAUUUCUUUCUCCCAAUUUGUAUGCCCAAGAUACUUUUUCAUUCACAGCUUCACACAAAUAUUCAAAAUGUUAUGCAACAUUCAUUUAUGGGGUCCUUCUUAAUCUUGAGUCGUUUGAAAAAAUUAGUUUGAUAUAAAUUUAAUCCCUCGGCAUUUACUUAAGUGUGUACAGAUUCAAAAUAUUAGCAUUUAGCAUGCCUUUUGCCAAAAAAAAAAUUCCCUAUCAAGUAGUUAGGUAAUAAAAUUUAGCGAUUAGACAUAAAGAACGGUUUAAGAGUCUUUUAGAGCGCGGCACCAGUUAAAUUCAACUCGUAGUACUAGUACCACAUUGGUGGUGGUAUGGGGCAAAUAAGCUGAAAAAAUCCCAGUGUUGGGCAAGAAAAUGUAAAUUUGAAAACUUAAAGAAUGAUUCACGUAAUUUUCAUAAACUCAAGGGAGGCAUGUGAAAUUAUCCUGAGAUAAAACAAAAUUCGACCGUUUUUAAGAAUUAUUUUCUCCAGAGUAGAAUAGCAACCCACACCAAGCAAUAAAUAAGUAAAUAACAGAUGCCUGUUUGCAAAUUCAAUUGAACCAAUCUUAGGUUUAAAUUAUUAUUAUUAUUUUUUUGGCUUCUCCACUUUUUAAAGUCCACCUUUCUUUGUUUAAUUAAUAAAUACAUAUAAAUUUAAGUGAACCCAUUUGGAUCGCAAUGAUCUUCUCAAUUCGACGACUAAGCAGAAUGCCGCAUCAUUUGGCUGGGGGAGGGGGGGGGGGGUUAGUGUGGUAAAGAAAGGAGGGAAUUGUGAGCGGAAAAUCUUACAAAAGAAAAUUUUGUUUUUUUGUUUUUUUUUGGUUUCGGGUCCUUAGUUUAGGAUGUACCGUGUACCCGAACCCGAAACUCAAAUUGAAUUCAAUUGAAUCCAGCCUGACAGACCCAUUUAAUUCCAUCUUCGAUUACCAGAAUUUGGAGUUGGGAGUUUAUUUUAUCAUUAUUAUUAGCACAGAAUAGUAAUUGAAGAGGAGAGUGGCGUCUUCGUUAUUGCGGGUCGCCUUGUCUCUGAUCAAACCCUUCUCCAUCUCUUCGACUUCUCUUCUUCUUCUUCUUCUUAUUGUUUAUUAUUAUAAUCCCAAUCGACCAGAUCGGACCUUUUUCCUGUUUCCUCCGCCGAGUAAGCAUCCUUGUCUCCCUCUCUCUGUCUACACGCACCCGCAAACACAUGCACAAAAAGUGUAAAGCUGCUCCGUAGAUCAUAGGGUUUUAGGGCAUUUAUUAGUAACCAGAAUUCUCCCUAGGGUUUUGAAAUUCUUGCUGCUGUAAUAAUUUUUUUUUUAAUUUUCUCGUACCAUUAUGUAUUUAAUGUUGUGAAUUCAUGAUUGCCUGAUGUUGUUUCAUGUUUAGAUACUUCUUCAUAACAUGUCUGGUGCUUUUCUUAAUUUUGCGGCGGUGAAGUUACAUCCUAUGCUUAGAUUUUUUUUGUUUUUUUAGUCUUGAUUUUUUGUGACAUUGCUCUGUCCUUUAGAUAACUGAAAGUUGUUAUCUGGUAUGGAGUAAUUUUUUUUUUUUUUUUUUGUGGGGAUUGAUACAAGUUGUGGGAGCUUGUCAGGAAGUUUGAUAAUGGAAAGAAGCGAUCGUGAUUUGGAAUAGCCAGAGAAAAAAUGUACAGCGGUUUGAGAGGUUUGAGUGAUUAGAGUUGGUCUUUUUACUUGGUUGUUUGUAAUUGCCUGUUUUAAUGAGCAUUUCCUUUCAAAAGAAGUUGGUGGGGGCACAUUUUGUUAUACUGCUGUUGUUAUGUUGGACCUGUGCAAUUGGGCGUAAAGUGGUUUUUGGCUAUUGUGAUGUCUAGACUGCAACUGAUAUGCUCAUCCUAUACGUACAUGUAUUAUGUUUAUGCUUGAGCCUUAGAGAACUUAGUCCUUGUGCCUUAAAAGAGCCUAACCUUUUGUUCAUAAAUCAGCAUCAUAGACAUGGAUGUAUUCAAGAUUGAAAGGGGUAGCAGUAUUUCUUGCAAUAGUUGCAUCAUAAGGUUGAACUAAUAGGAAAUGAGCUUAUUAAGUGGAUAACAAUGUAUGACGGUGCUACGCUUGCUUAUGAUGAUCCCUUUUUCGACCUUGCCUAAAAGCAUGGAGAAAAAUGAUUGCUUAAUUGAUGUCAUGUCUAAAAGCUGCUAAGUAACUACUGUCAAACGGAAAUGUGAGCCAGGCGGAAUAUUGUUCGAGUUCAGUAUACUGGUCUGAUAAAUAUCCUUUUUGGCUUCCCACCACCUUGCAAACUUACUACACGAGGAAUUGUAUAAUUUGUCCUUAAGAUUAGCUAAAGUGACCUUCUUUUUACAAUAAUAAGUCGUCUAUUCAUGAUAUUUUUCUAAUUUGCAGCACAAUCACUGAAUCUAAGUUAAGGGCCUACUGAUCAUCCUGCACUUGUUAGAGGACAUUUCUUCAGAAUGAGUUUGCAGCAAGCUGUUCAGCCUCGGUCUGCUGCUAAUGGUUUUGGCCGUCGUAGAACUGAGAAAGAUGGUGGCCCUAGAUUAGAUAGUAAGUUGCAGACUGUGAAAGCAAAUUCAAGUCGCUCAAGUAGUGUAGGUGAGAAUGCUAAUUUAAAUUUGUGUAGAUAUGCUUUUUCUCCUUUUUUAGCUGUUAGCGUCAGUUGUUUCAGGCAAAGAGGGAGGAUAUGCAAGCCCUUCACGGGAACGUCUAGUUUAUGUGACUACUUGUCUUGUUGGGCAUCAAGUAGAAGUCCAGGUGGUGGAUGGCUCAGCUUUUUCUGGAAUACUUCAUGCGACGAAUGCUGAGAAAGAUUUCGGUACACUCCCAGAAUUAUUAAAUUGCUUUUUAGAGUUCCACUUUUUGGUUUUAUAGUGCUUACUUGAUUAUGCUGCUUGCUCCAUCUUGCAUAGGGAUUGUUCUGAAAAUGGCUCGUUUAGUUAGAGAUGGCUCAAGAGGGCAAAAGAACAUGACAGAUUCUAUUAACAAGCCACCUUCAAAGACUUUGAUCAUACCAGCCAAAGAGCUUGUGCAAGUUAUAGCAAAGGUUUUCUUCAUUUAUUUGCUCUUUUGUUUUCAAUAACUACUGUGUCAUCUUCCUGGGUGAUAACUCUUUCAUUAAUUAGAAAUAGCAGCAAGUAUAAAAAUACAAUGCGCUUUCCAGUUGUUCUGGAUUUCUGGGUGACAACUGACUUGUUAGCUUUAUCCCUGCAUGGUUGAUAUCUCUCGUCCCAGCUCCUACGAUCUACUGACCUUCACCGGUCUUGUUGGUAACAGGGAGUCCCUGUGACUAGGGAUGGAUUGGGAAAUGAGCUCCAACGUGACAAGCAUCAGGAGAUUCUGAUAGAUUCGUUCAUAUCACAAUCACGGCGUGCUGAAAUGGAUAGGGAAUUGGAACGCUGGGUCCCUGAAGAUGAUGAUCCUGUCUGUCCAGAAUUGGAGAACAUAUUUGAUGGUCACUGGGAUAGGUUGUUGAAUGACUUAAUUCUUUGUUUUCCUAUAGUUUCGAACUAUCCUCCCCUUUCCCAAAACGGAAAAAAGUUUUGUCAUCUAUCAUGGUUUGCAUUGAAUCCAACAUCAGUUGGAUGAAAUCACGCAGUUAGAACGAUUAAUUUUGGGCGGUUGGAAUGGGACUAGGAUAAACUAAUAGUAAAGGUUUCACUUUUGCUUCAUAGUGAAUUGUACAAGGGUGCCCAUUUACAUCUUCUGUUUGGAUGACUGCGACAUUGUUAUUGAUUAAGUUAUGUUUGAUGAAUUGUUACAGUUUGUUUGAAAUAUGCUCUUUAUUUUUAAAACGAAUAGUUGACUACAAGACAUUCUGACAUCCAUUUUCAACUUCUUUCCUUCUACAUAGCCUGAUCCAACUCCAAGUUUGUUCUUUUUAGGGGCUGGGAUCAAUUUCAAGCAAAUGAAACUUUAUUUGGAGUGAAAAGCACUUUCAAUGAGGAACUUUACACAACAAAACUUGAAAAGGGUCCACAGAUGAAAGAGUUAGAAAGGGAAGCUUUAAGAAUAGCUAGAGAAAUAGAGGGAGAAGACACCCAUGAUCUCCAUUUAGCAGAGGUGGGAAUAUUCUUUCUUGAUAUUUUGUCUUUUCUUUCUGACUAGUCCAUUUCUUGCUCUCUUCCAUCUAAAACAUGUUUUCCUAAUAGGAAAGAGGAUUACAACUGCAUGAAAAAUUUGAAGUUGACGAAGAAACCAAAUUCUCAUCAGUUUUUAGAGUGGUUGACGACAGUGGAUGUGAUGACAUUUUGUUGGAUACUCACAAUAAUGAAACAUUUGGAGGUGGCUAUGUUUCUGGAAUUGGGAAGUCAUUUGUUGACUUGGCUAGUGUAAAUUCUAGUAAUGGAGCUCAACUAUCCACAAGAUCUUCACCUUUGGUAGGUGUCCAGUUGUUAACAUUUCUCUCUUAUUUGGAGCCUCUCUUACACUUGCUUCAUAUUUGGAGGCUAUCUUCACCUUUGUUUUACUUUUUGGAAUCUUUUUUUUUUUUUAAUAAAACUUCAGGAGUUUUGUGCAUUAACGGAUAGCUGUGGCCUUGAUUGUUGAAACAUUCUUUAAAUAUCUUGGAGGUGCAUUGUAAUGCAUAGUUUGGGAUGCGCUGUGAAAUUAUAUUAGUAAAUUGGAAAGCUAAUUUGUUGUCCUAUUAUUGCCUUUUAGUACCUAUUUUUUUUCCUUGUUUUUGUUUUCAAACCUGUACUCAAAAAUAUGCGUUUGGAUGGUGUGGUUUUUGGGAGUUUGUCUUACUGUAGUUUACUGUAAAAUUUUUACAAAAACUUGUGUGUAUUUGUUGGGGAGUGGUUGAAAAACUUUCCUAUUUUUCUUUUACUUCUCUUUUUUUCUUUUUCUUUUUUUUGUUCUUUCUUUCCUCUCCUGCCCCUCCCUGCCACCCGCCUUUCCUCUCUCCGAUCGUCCCCCCCCCCUCCUUUCUCUUUCCCUCUGUCUCCUUAUCCCUGUUUCCCUCCCUCCCUCCCUCCCUUCCUUCCUCCAUGUCCUCCUUCACCUGCCACCCCCUCUCCCUUCACUCUGCCCCCCUCUGUGCUGGUUGCGUGACCAGAGCAAAAAGAGGGGGAGGCGGCAGUGGAUGUGGUGGCAGGCUGUGGUGGGCUGAGGUGGGGGUGGCAGCAGUGGAAGUGAAAAUGGUUAGGGAGGGUGUGGUAGAAGAGGGAAAUGGGUGUGUUUUUUGGGUAUUUUGGGGGGGGGGGUGUUUUGUUAAACUUAGGGUGUUUUUACAAGUUGCUGUAGCUAAAGUUGGAAAAAAAAUUGUCUUUGGAUUAGCUGUUUUUGGGGGUGUUUUUGAAAAAAUUUACUGUAGCAGAGUUUUUAGAGUAUAUUUUGGAAUAUUUUUAGAAAAUAUUUUGGAAUAUUUAAGAGUAGUAGAGUUUUUAAAAUAUAUUUUGGAAUAUUUUUUAAAUAUUGAAAAAAAUUUAGAUUACUUUUUAGAGUACCUUUUACAGUACUUUUGAAAAAUUUUUUAGUAUUUGAAAAACUAGUUUUUGAAAAAUUUUUUAGUAUUUGAAAAACUAGUUUUUGAAAAAAUGAAGGAUCCAAACAGUGAUAUUUUUCUGGUUUGUUUUGUCGACUCUCCAGGAGGAAGCACACUCAGCUCAGUCAAGUACCAGUAGGGAAGUACAUCAAUCUGGUUCGGAUGAUCAUUUUAGACAGUUAUCAGCUGGACAUUUGUCUAAAGAUUCUUUAAAUGUCGGAGAUAGCAGGUCUCUGUCAUGUCUGAUGCCUAACCAUUUAGUGUUAUACUGUGGUUGAUAUAGUUACAGACUUUUCUAAAUAAUAUGAAGUUUGAAUUGAGAGUACUUUAUUUCAGGGCUUACGAGAACCAGUUUGCUGACCAUGAUGCAGGAAAUGAAAUGGUAAAUGUUUACUCUCAAAUGCUUAGGAAAUCAAUGUUCACCAUUGCUUCAUGUAAUAUCCUUAUGAUGUUGCUGCGGAAUACUUGUUUACAAACACAAUCCUGUCUACUUACAUGCAGGUGCCUGAGGAGGCUCAAAGUUCAAAACCUGAGGGUGAGUGGACCUUUGUUUCUCCAAAAUUAUCUGGGGAUGGUAAAGCUUUGUAGUCCAGAUAUAUAAUUUCCUGGAAUUUGAUUGCUGUUUAGGAGAAAGGUUCUAGCAGCUAGUUUUACCUUUAUUUCUCAACUUUUAUUUCAUUAUCAUGUUCACUUGGAUGCAAAAUUCUUCUUGCAUCAGGAGUGUUACUAUAUGGAGGAUCUUACAAGAGGUAAAUAGGGUAGGUAAAUCCUGCUGAGUUUUAAUAAAAGAGGAACAAGAAGGAAAAUUUUAUGCUCUGUUGUUUCUUCCGGUAUUUUACAGUCUAGAAAAACCAAUCUAGUCUAUGGAGCAUGGGGUUUUUACCUUGGUGUUACUUGUAGGUUUACUACUUAGUCUGCCAGCUGGCAUAAGUAAUUGUAGAGGUUUGUAGGCAGCACGGAUAUGGAUGCUAAUUUUGGUUAACCAUUUUUGGUAGGUUUUCCUGUUGAGGGCUUGAUGCUAGAACUAGAACGAAGAAAAAGAAGUCUGAACUGGUAAAUGAUUUGCAGUAGUAGUUUUAGACCUAGUUUGUGAGUUUAAUAGAGGAAACAAAAGAAAAGAAAAGAAAACAUAAAUUAGGAAAGAAGAUAAGGGAAGGGAAAGGGUCAUGUUUGGGAGUUGUAGAAGAGAAAAGAUCAUUAUUGUGUUGGACUUUGCCCAUUCACCAUCAAACUUCAAAGUUUUUGGUGUUUUUGAUGGGUGUAUGUUAUACAGCAAAACCUUUUAAUGAAGCAAGCCAAUUUUGUCCUACUUAUCUCCACUUCUGGAGAGAGUUUCCUACGUUUUCUUCACCCCAUUUCUCUCCACAUUCUCUUUUUUUUUUUUUUCAACCUGAAACUCUGAAACAAGAGAAAGCCUCAAAUUUCCUGUAUCUCAUAAAUUAUGUUCAACCUUGAGAACAUAAAAUUGCAGAUGGAUCACAAUUUUCAUGAAGGGGUAGUAUGAGUUUUUCCAGAAUUUAAGCAGGAGCAAGUGUAAUGUUGUUUUUGUUAUCUUGGAAGUCCUUUCCUAGGGCUUUUUGGUGUUGUGGUAUUUUAACACAUUGACCUUGUUUCCCAGUUCACUCUUUGGUCUACAUUGGCAAAAUUGCAUACUGCAGCUUUAACGUUGAAACUGGAUACUUCUGAACAUCACAUAUUUUUUUCAUUUUUUAAUCAUCAGACUGCCUUACCCUAGUAGCUUUUUGCAAUGGAGAUUGGUUUUAUCUGUGUUGGGAGUUUGUUAACAUAUGAUUGAAACGUUGCACUAUAUCAUGUGUGGACAUCUAGCGAGGAAUAAUAAAAUCUAAUAUUUGAAUGCUUUUGACGGACAAUACCAUGCAUCUUUUCUCCUCAUUGAAAAGGGGGCUUUUCUACAUCCCUUGUUCUUCCAUGAACAGUAAAAAGGUCCAUAUAUUGUGGCUGCUCUAAACUUAUCUUGAUCAUUUGAUGUGAUUCCUGAACUUGGUGACUAAAUCUAGCUGAUCAUCAUUCCCCUGUGAAGUGUAUGGCUAGUUGGAAUAGGAUCUUGCCUGUUCCCAAACUCCGGAAGAUGAUCUCUCCAUCUUUUUUUUUUAAAUUUUCCCCACUUUUUUGUUAGAGAGAAGGGGAAGUUUAAUGGGUUGCUGUAACCUACUAAAAGGCAAAACCUGAGUUCUUCUUUCUUUUUUGAUUACCUUCCUCGCGUAUGUAUAAGACCGAAUCCAUUCGAUUUCUAAAUUUCUAAAAAGGAUUACUAAUCCUUAACUUUUCAAGGAAUCCUUAACUUUUCUUCAGGGUAGACUUCUUUGAAAGUUCAUUUCCUUGGAAGCCAUGUCUUCGAAUGCUUCUUUUGUCCUUUUUGUGUGUGUGUGUGUGUGUUUGAACACUAGGAGAUUUGUUGUUUUGCAGACUCACGGUCAUCACAAAGGUCAAAAUUAGAAAGCAGUGAUAAAGGUGGCUUAUCUGCAAAUGCCACUGCAUAUGCUCCAUCACGUGUAUCAUCUAAAAAUCAGGAAAAGGCAAGUUCUAAUGAACUCUCAGAUGUUAUUAGUUCUUCGAUGGCACAUGGCACGGUACAAUCUGUCAGCUCUCGGGUACGUCCUAGCAGUUCUGCCUCAUCCAGUUCAGACUGUGGAGGUGGUGCGUCUGCUUCUGGUGGUCCUGGAUUAUCUCCCAGCUCAUCAAUGGGUUCACUGUCCUCUGAAAAAUCAACACUGAACCCUCAUGCUAAGGUAGUAAUGCUCUAUCUUUCUAAUUUUCCCUGAUAUUUUUGCAGCACAUAUUGUUUCUGUCUUUCUGUUUCCUCUCUUUGUUAGUAUAUUUUAACUUUGUUCCUUAAAUCCAUUUCUUAUCUCAGGAAUUCAAACUAAAUCCGAAUGCAAAGAGUUUCAUACCUUCUCAGACGCCAUUGAGACCUCCAUCUCCGGUAUCUGAUGGUUCAUUUUAUUAUCCAACUAGUAUGGCUGCUAUACCGAACAUGCAUGGCAUGCCUGUUGGCAUAGGGGUCAGUGUCUUGUCUUUCUUGAUACGAAUUAUGAUUUUUGUAUUUGACUUAGUAGCAUUUUUUUCGUUAAGAUAUCCUUAAGAUGCUUACCUUAUGCCAUUUUCAGUGAUUGCUCCAUUUAUUACUACUUUAUGGCAUGGCCUCGGACUCAUAAGCCUGGUUUAUUGCAUUGGUUAUUUUGUUUUAUGUGCAUAGGUGGUCUGAAUUUUCCUCCUUGUGUUUUAUCCUCAGACUAGUUUUUGAUUGGGUUGAGAAUGAUAGUCAUGUUUUUUAUCCUUGGAAAUUUCACAAUCUUGCAGAUUGGCCCCACAUUUACUUCACACCAGCCUGUUAUAUUCAAUCCACAGGCUGCUCCAACACCGCAACCGUAUUUUCAUCCAGGUGGACCUCAGGUGCAGUUUUGUGGUGAUAUUCCAAUACAUAAUGUACUUUCACUGUUUAAUGGUUAGUAAAAUGAUUUUUGUAUUGUCUAUUAUCCUUGCAGUACGGACGACAAAUGAUGAUUAGUCAUCCUCAGCAAGUCGUGUACAUGCCAACAACUUAUAACCCUGUAUGAAUGUUCUCAAUUUAUCUGUUCUUUAGAAGAAUCAAUUCUUCAAUAACAAUAGUUUAUUAUUGCUAUAGUAGGAGAGGUAUUUUCUUUGGUGUGUGCUGUUUACUACUGUGCUUAUUGAGCGCUUGAUCUGAAUCUAGUGUCAAAUUUGUGUCACAAGACCCCUUGGUUCAUGACGUCCUUAUCAUGUUUUUGCUGCGGUUAGUGAGGUGAGGUGCAAAGUUUGUGCAAUAACCCAGAGUCAUAUUUUGCUGUUGCAAUACAGCAUCAGAUUGGUGUUUUGGAUAUUUGAUCACUCUCUCUGUUUUUGACUUUUGGAUAUUUGAUGAUAUUCUUCUCUGUAUUUUUUGAAUUUUGGAUAGACAAGAUCAAGCAACUCAUGUUACUUAAUGGUCUGCAUUUUACAGGAAAUGCCGUACAAAGGAAGAGAGUUUUAGCUUUUUGGUUGAAAAUUUGUUUGAAGUUGUUCAUCCAUCUGAUGAUAGGGAAUAAAUUUCUGACACCAGUCUGCUUGGAACUGAACUUUUUUGGAAAAUGAGCCCGGCAGCUGACAAAAAGAUCCAGUAGCCUAUAAAAGCACAUUACUGAGCAAGGAAAUAGUAGUAUUAGUUUCGAGGAUGUAAUGCAGUCUUGUAUGACUUUGUCCUUUUACAGUGUCUGAAAGUCGUGUUCUUUGACCCUUUGUUUUCCUCUGUUUUGGCUAGGUGCUUUUUCUGACAAAUUUUACUGUCUUCUUUGUUUCUUGGCUGAGACUUUGGCAUUGUAUUACGUUGUCAUUUUUUUUUCUCCCGCCUUUCAAUCUAUACAAUGUCAUGACUGUGGUAGAUAGGGAAUUGAUGAUCGUGGAAGCAUUUUUUCUGUUGCUCGGUGGGGAAUUUUGCUGGUUGAUUGAUUGCCAAUACAACAGUUGAGGGUGAAGUGUAGUCCAGUGAUAGUUGCUCGUUCUAAAACUAGAUUUUGAUUCUGUUCAUAUUUUUCUUUCGGCCUUCCCCUUUGGAAAAAAAAAAAAAAAGAAUAAAAAGGGACUGUAACAGAGCACGCUCGACACAGGCAGCCUGCUUUUACAUCACUAGCUCUUGAAAUUAAACUUCGUAAAUGGAUGACACCAGAAUAUGAAUGAUCUAAAGAAUAAACUGAGUUUGUUCUAACUCUUCUUCCCGUGCAACUAAAGGUUGUGCGUGCAUUCUGAAGAUUCUUAACCAAUAUUAUUGGUGAAUCUCUUUUUUUUUUUUUUUUUUUUAAUAGGUAUAAGAAUCUAAUUAGAUCAAAGAGGUGCUAUGAGUCUUUUGCAUCUUAUUUGGAUUUUUUCCACCGUAAGUGGAGUUCGAACCCUCAAUUUAUAGUUUAAUAAAGAAGGGUUUAGUCCAGUUUUGGUGGUCUCACUCAAUGGUUCUAUUGGUGGAUCUCGCAUUUACGUUUGACCAUAAUUGAGAAUUAAAAUUGCAGUCACACACCUAACGUCGCAUUUUCAGGUUAAUGAAUUGAUACUACUUUAGAGCAGAAAAGGGGAGUAUAAAGUUCCUACUUUAUACGUACAUAUAUCUUUAUAAAUGGGGCGGAGAGCCCACGAAUCAAUUUAUGGCUUGAGAAUGGGCCACGUAUAAAUAUAGCUGCCGUCUAUACGAGGUUUUGGUUGGCGCAACUUGGACGCAUACAAAGAUUGACAGCACAGCACAGCACCCUUCCAAAGUGAUUGUCGAUUAGCGGGAACCGUUAAGCUCUCUUUCCUUGAUAAAAAAUUAUUUGAGGCUCCAACGCUGUUCUAACUUUGUACGUAUCCAAUGAUUGAUGACCACAGUGCAGACAACCUCGGAGAAAUUAAUUGCGACGGCCUCCAUCUCCAUCUCCAUCACACAGAUUCCAGUUGUUAGGGCCGUAAAAACUUCGCAGUAUUAGCAGUAUUACAACUGAAUUCACUUGUUGUUUGUCCAUCAAACUGACGACAAGGAAAAUUAACGCUGCUUUAGAAGUUAAAAGCUACUCCUAUAAAAGAUCUGGCGGUUGUCGCGAUUUAGCAGCGGCAGUUUCUAAUUCUGCUUCUCUAUUAGCACGAAACACGCUGCAAGCGAAAAGUAGCAGUCAAUAUCAUAUACUAGUAUCAAGUUUCGACAAACCAAGAAACAAUUGAGUGGAUGAACGAGGAGAAAAAUUAACGAGUUCAUCAACAUUAUCCCCCGGGGUCCCAUCAUCUCUGCUACGGUCUUCCCCUUUUUAAAUAUUCCUGUGCCUCUCUAAAUAAUUGUUUGUAAUUUUGGACUAUUUUGCUUGUACAUAUGUUUCGCCAGGUAUGAUAUGAUGCCUGAAAUUAACCCGUUUAUUUACAUUAGCUUUGAUUAUGAAUGAAUCUGUAUGUUCGAGUCGUUGCAUUGCAUGCAGAUUGUAACGUCGUCUGACCUAGUUUGCUUUCAUGUCUUUUCGCAGUCCGUAAAAACUUUUGUCGCUGAUCGAUCCGUAGAAAUGCGGCGGAUAGCAAAAUUGAAAGCACUGCUGUGCUGUUAUCGAAUCAGGGAGGGACUCCAAUUUCCAGCAGUUUUGUUUAAUCCAUUAGCAACAACGGAAUGGAGUAUGUUGCUUGUUGUUCGCUGAUGCAUUUACAAGGACCAAAACAUACAUGCUGCCUGCCUGUGAAUAUGCAGCUAGAGUAAGUACAUCCAUUCUCAAGGCAUGAAUAUGCAGCUAGAGUAAGUAACACAACACGAUGAGUACAGCAAUUAGGUAGCUAAAUAUGCAAGUAAAAGCGUUCCAAGCUUAGCUAGGGACAAGAAGAUACAUACAUGCUGCCUGUGACUGAUAUAUGUAUGUAUAACAAAUACAUCUCCCAAUAGAUAAUUGUAUACUUUUAAAUAUGAAAGCUAUUAAUGGUAAAAUUGUAACUAAUCACCACCUUAGAUACGUUCAUGGGGUCCUACGAUCGAGCGAGAAUGCAUGUUAUAUAUGAUGCAUAUUAUAUAGAAUUCAAAGGAUAAAUUGUAAAAAAAAAAAAAGAAUUACCAAAUUCACACUUUCAUAUUAAAGUUAUGGUAAUACCAAUCGUACAAAUGAAUGAAGGUGUAGAUUAAGGCUGAAAGGAUGUGAUGAUUUCAAUUCAGUGACAGAAGAACUUGAUCAUAUCUCUUCUGGCCAUGGCCGUUGUGGGGUCCAAGAAGGAAAGUUGAAGCAAAACAAAUUCCGACACUGAUUGGAUGGGAUAUUAUUUGAAAUAAUUACUAUAAUACAUUUUAAUUUAUGAUGUGACGAGAAUAUAAUAAAAUAAUAUUUGUAAUACAAGUAAAUAAUUUUCUUACUAAUAAAACACCACGUGUGCGCUUAAUAUGCAGGAAGUAUUGGUAUUUAGUAGUACUCAAUCCCGUGACCCCAGAGAGAUGGAAGCAACCAUUCACGAAGGUUCAUAGCUAAGAUUUGACUUAAAAAAUAUAUAUAUAAAGUUCAGAUUGUAUCUUGUACAUCAUUUUUUCACAUCACGUCUGGAGUUCAUAAAAUUUUGCUCUAUAAUUACAUACUAUUGUUGUUGAAAGUAAAUUUCGUCACGUGCAUAUACACCAAAGUUAUGUCUCAUGCAUUUUACACAAAAUUGACCCAAUCGGUUUGUGACAACCGUUCGAACCCCAUUUCCCCGAGAGAUAGACACUGCACUGCAGAUUUGGAUAAGAAUCUGGUCCAGCACUAAGCACAUUUAAAUAAAUAAAUAGAAACUCUUUCCACAAAAGUAGUGUAUUACGCCUACCAGCAACAGAGCGCCAUGGCUGUGGUGGUAGAAUUAAUUAUGAGGGUCGGCGGCUUAAGGGUAAUGUCACAAUAUUUUACUACAAGCAAAUUCACCUGCGGGGCUUUUGAACUUCCGUGUUUUAAAUAUCCAUACGUCACGAAACACGACAAGAAAACCUGGACACCAACAUUAAACUAAUAACAAAAAAAAUAAAAGAAUCCCAAAUUCGAUCUGAUAAUACGUCUAUUAUAUUAUAUCCCAAGCAAGAAGUUACUGCCAUAGUACUAUAGUAGUAUAAUCUUGGGAGUUUGGUGGUGGUGGUGGUGGUGGCGCUGUGGUGGUGGGCUGGUAAAUCGAGCUUCACCGUUUGUAUACCGUAUGGUUUUUUGCUUUGCGGAUGCAGAAAAGGACGCAGCAAGGAAGCCAGGAAGCCGUGGUUUUAGGCCGUUGAAACAGUAUAGAAUAUUGAAUUCUGGUCUAGUCUAGUCUACUAGUACCAGGCAGCAAGGCCGAGAAGAUAGGAGUAAGUAAUUACAAGCCAAAAGGAGGAAGAAAGAGAAAACCAGAGUAAAUUCGUUGUGCGGUUUGAAGAAAGGAGACAUGCCCGACUCCAUCACAACAGCAGCAACAACAUCUUCAAUCUUUACCAAAUCCCAAAGGUUCUUCUCCUAUCAUCUCAAUACUAGUGGCGCUACCAUUACUACUGCCAUUAACACUUUCCCUCUACUUCUUCAACUACUUUUCUUUUGCUUUUGCAUAUGGGUUUUCCAUUGUUUUAAGAAAUCUGCACGACUUAGUUUUUUUUUUUCUUUUUAUGUUGACCCUUCAUUACUGGCUAUUGUGGUUGUGGUUUCUGUGAUACUUAUACUGCCGCCGUUACUGUGAUGAUAUUAAUGGGCUAGUAGUUAAGUGCUGCAUGUUUCAUUGGUUAUCUGACUCCUUUUUUUCGUUUCCUUUUUUUGUCCUUUUCCUGCUUCUUGUUGUUUAACUCCUCUGGGAAAUAUAUUUUCUGGGUUUUGGUUGUUUGGAACCUUUCAAUUCAAAGCAUCCACUUUUAAAAUAAAAAUGGUACCUUUAGGCUUUCUGUGCCAUCCCUCGAGGAGUACAAGAAAAAUGGAAAAAAUAAGUCUUUUUUUUAAAAAAAUUUUUGAUAUAUCACUUACUUGUUUAGGAUGGUUGUAUUUAUCUUUCAUCUGAUUUUUUCUCCUCUAUGCUGUAAAAAGUCAGAACUUAUUUUUCUUUGGGGGCACUAUACUGCUUCCUCUCGUGCAGUGCUGGUUUCAGACGGAGUUAUUCACUAGUUCUCUUUAAAUCUGAUGGUUGGCGUAGUGUCUUGUUUUCAAUAAGUUCGUUAUCUUGUAAAUCCUAUGUGGUAUCUUAUAACCUCUGAUUUAGCUGACCAAUUUUUUUUUCCUUUUUUUGGGGGGGGGUUAAAAAAAAUGGGAUAUGAAGGAUGAACCUCUACCGUGAUACAUGUCAUGCAUUUGCAUUGUCUAGAAUUAUCAGAAUGUGAACUUCUGCUGAUUAGCAUUUGUUUUGUGUUGUUUUGCUGUAUGGCUGCAAGAAUUAGCUUUUCAACGUGUGGCCACUCUCGUAAGAAAAUAUUGAAUGCCUUUUGCCAUUCUCUGAAAAACACGUAUUUCAGCCUUCGGGAGGAUUCUGACAGCAACAUUUUGUGUGUGUGUGUGUGUUAUUAAUCUCCCUCUUUAUAUUAAACUGAAUCUUUGGAAAAGGAAAAAUGCAUUAUCCAUGAUUCAAAAAUGUAGAGGACAGGCAUAUCAGGUGAUGGUCCUAAUUGUAAUUGUCUUAGGAUAAUGUAAAUAAUCCUUGCUUGUUGAAUCAAAUACUUGUCAUUUGGAAUGUUAUUGUGGUUAAGGCUGUUGAGUCUACUACUUUGAUUUAACUAUUCUAAGGAAAUAUUUGCUUGGCCUUUUUUAACUUCAUCAGCAGGUAAACUGGUUGCAGUUAGUGCCGUAAAAUUAACAUAAGUUGAAAAUAGUUUAUUUAGCAAUUUUGGUGCACUAAGUAACAUUCGCAAUUCUGCAGAAUGCAGGACUUGCUGAAGGGGGAUGAUCUUAACAAUGCUCGCAUGAUGGCCCCAUGUGUUGAUGAUAGCCAGUCUUGGUGGACUUCUACUAACUCACAAGGGCAACAGUCAUCUCUGUCAAGAAAUUUAACUUUUAAAGCAGCAUCUCCAGUGGAAUGCUUUCAGGGUAAUAAGCAGUUGGGUUUUCACUUUCAAGAUCAAGAAUCGUCUUCCACUCAGUCAACUGGUCAAUCUUGCCCUGAAGUUGCUAGUAUGGAAAAUGAAAAAUACAGAAAAAAUAUUACAUCGGUUCAGCCAGGUAAAUUAAUUGAGCUUUUACUUUUUGUUUUGUUGAAGUUUAGUUCUACAUGUGCUAUCUAAAGCUGAAUAGAGAUGUUGAAAAGGAAGACAAAUUGAAUUUGUAAAAUCUGCUGUAGUGUAGUACAUAUUCUGAUUGGUCCUCUCAGUGAUGUUAACUAGUUUAUUAGCAAGUUGUGAAUCCAAUUGAUUUAGCAAGGUUGGUACUAGUUUAAAUAUCAAAUCACAACCUAAAAACUGUUGAGGAUAGAAAAGAAAAGAAAUAAACCAUAUUAGGACCAUGCAUCUUGCUACUUUAAAUAUUGCCUAAGUCAUGCAAAUGGAGAGGCAAUUUCGUUGUAGUGAACUUGUGGCCAACUUGCCAUCAGUCUCUGUAAAACAAUCUUAGUAUGCCUGGCUGCCUUUUUGUCGCAACAUAUGUCAAGAGAAACAAAUUUGUCAUAGACUAGUUCCAGUCUAUGAUUUGGUGGGUAUUACCAAUUUUGCAGUAUUCUUCCUUUUCUUCUUCCUUGGAACUAAGAUGCUUUUUCUUUAAACCAUGCUGUUUUUUUUUUCACCAGAGGUUUGAUGAAUGUGAUCAAUAUGUAAAAGCUUUGUUUAUGUUUGGGACAACUCAACGAAGCAUUUAUCCCAUGUAUAUGAGAUCAUAUACAGAAUAUGUUGUUUUCAUUUAGCUCUUUUUCUGGCUGGUCAUCUAGAUUCAUUAAUGCUUGCUCUAUAGAGACAAGAUCAUAUGUUUGCUUGCAUUCUCCUUUUUCAGAAUUUUACCAUUUAAUCAGGAGGUCAUUUUUUGCCAGCCAGCUUAUUCCUUGAAGUUCUUUUGCAAAUAUUUUUGUCAGCUUAAGCCAUUUUUUUUUAUUCUCUACUUAUCUCACUCUUAUUUGUGAAUGAAAUUAAUCAUUUCCUUACCUUCUCUUGCUAGAAUGCAGACAAAAUUCUAACUUGACUGUCACGCUCUUGCACCAUUAUCAUUCUUCUAUCCAAGCUUGGGUUUGGUUUUCUCCUACUACUAGUAACAAGCACAGAAAGAUCAUCAGACACUGUGCAUAUUAUGAUGGCAUUAUCUUACUUUGGUUAAACAAUGUGUUAAACAAACUGUUUAUGCUCAUAUACAUGUGCACAAUAUUAACUAAAUCUUUAUGCAUAGAAAUAGAUCACCAUCCAGUGCUGUGCUAAAGCAUUUUGAGAAUUGACUUAUAAAUUUACACUUUAAUGAGGAAACUUGGGAGAAAUUUCCUCCCAUGCACGUCUCACUUUAUGGUCUUUGUGCAUAGAGAAUUGGUGCUUCAUUUUAUGCUAAAAGCUCAUUUAUAAAAUGAUUAUAGUCAGAUGAGGUGAUUACUGUUUCUUGAGUGGUUUUAGAAAUGAUCGAAGUAUUAGAUACAAAACAUAUGUGCUUGUCAGUGUUACAAUCUAUAAAUGCUUUUAUUGGAUUUUCUGCUAUUGCUUGAUGAGCAGGCAAAUCGGAUGUCCAAAGUCAUACAAGGCAUGUUUUCUGUCAUUUAAAUCUCUUAUGUUAUAUUGCUUUAUUUUUCCUGAUGAAAACAAUUGUAAAUCAUACCUUUUGUUUUUGUGAACAUUCCUCACUUUCAGACAUGCUGUAUUAUCUUAGAGGAGUUAAUUUCAUACAAAACUUAAUAAACAAGAUGUUGAGCUUCCAAUUUGAUGUUGUCUGUCUAAACAAAAUAUGAACAUGCUUGUGCAAAAUGUGGGAUGGGAAGUCUUUUGUUCAUUUCAUACGGAUGUUUUCCUUUGACUACAAAGGAAUACUACUCGCAGUUGACAAUAUAUAAUGUUUUGAAAAGAAAGGUGGAACCUCUGGAAUCACUAUAUUAGGUAAAUUUGGAAAGAAAGUAGAGAAUGUAUGACAGUAAGACACCAGUACUUUUUAAAUUUUUUGCAUGUAAUCCGUUAGUUUUUGUUUUUGUCUUUGUUUUUUUUACUUUUUUUAAGUUUGGGUUGAGGUGCAACUGGUAGGUAAAAGCAUUCUAUGAAAGUGGAUGUCAUGAUUAAAAGAUCCCCUCUCGAAAACAAGACAUUUAAUUUGUAAAAAAGUGAAUAAAUGGAAUUUCUUCAAAUGAUAGCUCUCUACUUAUCGUCUUCCACUUUUGCAUUGAUCUUUAAUUGCCUGGUGUGUAAGUUUUUUAUUUUUUGUUUUAUAUUUUUGGUUUGUUCAGGCUGGUGUGGAUUGCAUGCAAAGCCUGAAGAGGACCCAAGUAAAUCAAGUGUUUUAUUUCAGGAUUACAUUUUUCCUUGUUCAUCAAUUGAUUACAGGCAACAUGUAAGUCAAUUGAUGUAGUUUUCUGACAUUUAUCUGGAGUAUUGGAUGAGCUUUCAAGUAGUGACAAUGUGCUUGUAUACUUUCUGUAGGCAACCUAUCCUUUUAAUUACACUGAUCCAUACAAUCAUGGGCUAGUUGCUGCUUAUGGCCCUCAUUCUGUGGUAAGUGCAACAACAGACUAUCACUCUAUCAUUGAUUUGAUGUAACUAAUUGGAGAUUAAUGUGUUAGUUGGCGUGAAUGUUUAAGAAUGCAUCCUUUUAAUUCAAACAACUAUAAUCAUUGUGGACAAGAAAGACUCUCCUCCCUUGGUCCUUUUUUCCCUCAAACUUCAUACCUUUGAACUUACAAAAUACAUGCAUAAUAAAGGAGAUAAAGCUUUCAGAUUCAUGGGGAGAUAAGGGGUGGCAGUAGAUUAGUAUUGGAGCUUGAUUCACUAUCUUCUUUUUUUUUUUUUUUAAAUGAUACUGUAUUCUUUACACUGCAUCUUUCUUCCUAUUUUUGUCCAUAUUCUUGUUUACCAGAUGUGUGUUGCCUACUGGAAAGCAUGGGUGAUAGAUAAAUAGGGAAAGUUACUAUGGUUGAGAUGAUUCUUCUAUUGGUCAAUGCCUGGGUCAUUAUCAGUGGUAGUAUAACUUGCUUCUUAAUUCUUCUUGGAGGUGGAAUAUGUGUUGAAGUGUUGCACUAGCUCUGCAAAAUUUUCAAGGUUCAGCACAUAGUCUACAAUAGUGCUAUGCCAUUUCAUUCUUUUUUUAACCUUUUUUCCCACUUUGCAUCUCCUUUCUUUUUAUGCUUAUGCUUUUCCUGUCCAAAAGAUUCUCCUGGAACAGAAAAGUGCUAUCUUUGAUAUUAUUCAAAUUAAUGGUAGCUUGUUUUUAGGAUCUAGACUUUCACCAAUACUGCAAAAUUAAUUGUGAUAAGAUGAGAUUAUCAUUGUUAACAUCACGAGCAUUUAAGCAACUAGGAAGUUGCCUAUUUUUUUUUUAUCAAGUGGGCUCUUUGGUUCUGGAUUCCCCAACCCAGGGGCUUGUCCUAAUGAUACUAUUCAUCUUUUGUGAAAUAGUUCUUGACCUGCACUGCUAUAUGAGAUGGAGAAAAUUUUUUGACUUACUGCCUAAGCCGUGUUUCUUGAUGAUAUACUUUCCAUUUAUAAUUGAUCAGGUACAUUCCCAAAUGAUGGGCAUGACACCUAUUCGUGUGCCGCUUCCUCUCGAUGCUGCACAAGAUGAGCCUAUAUUUGUGAAUGCAAAGCAGUUCAAAGCAAUUAUGAGGCGUAGAGAAUCGCGUGCCAAGCAAGAGGCUCAAAACAAACUGUCAAAAAAUCGAAAGGUUGGUAUACAGUAGCUUCUAUUUCCUCUCUGCAAGGGGGCAUGGUUCUACCACUGGUUGACCAGAUGCAUCAAAAAUUGGCUAAUAGUUUCUAUUUCUGAAAAAUGUGUUUAGCCUUAUCUCCACGAGUCUCGGCAUCGUCAUGCUUUAAAUAGAGCAAGAGGUUCUGGCGGUCGUUUUCUGAAUACAAAGGAACUGCAGGAGGCCAAGGCCGUUGCCAAGACCAAUGACAAAGAAACCUCCGGUUCCUUGCAGCUCCAGUUGAACAUGGAAACAACGGAACCUGAAGUUUGUCAGACAGGAAAUAAAAAGGAUGGGAUCUCCAUCACUGCCUGCUCGGACAUCACAAGUGCUUCAAAUGGUGAUGAUGCCCUCCAGCGUCAAGACUUCAGGUUCUCUGGGUAUCGACCUCAUGUUGGUAGUUUCGUAGCCAGUGGUGGGAGUGGUAGAACUGGUGGCGUUCAGCAGUUCCUCUCAAUCCGCUGAUGAGAUUGGAGAGUCAAACUUACAGCUGUCCAUGACUCGGCACUUCUCCGAGGAUAUGGCUGCUGGUAAAAGUGGGAAGUCAUCCUUGGCUGUUUAGUUUGGUAAUAUUGUAGUGCAUCUUCGCGUACAAAAGUAGCUUCAUUGCGUGCAUGGUUUCUGGAAGUUGUUUUUAAAACAAGAAGGCUUCAUCAGAAUGAUAUGAUGAGUGGCUACUGUUAUAAAUUCACUCAACUAUUUGCAAAAGAGCACUUCAGUUGCUAAUGGGUGGUAAUGCUUUCUGUUCAGGGUUUGAGGUUGAAAUGACGUAGUGGCUUUAAAGGCUUAGAGCCUGUCUGCUUACUCUCCCUGUUGGUUGGUCGUUUGGUAUAAAGAUGCAGCUUUCAAUAAAUGAUAGCAUGAAAAAAGAAUUAUGGUACCAAAAAAAAAAAAGGAGAUAAUCAAUAAAAAUUUGGCAUUGUUACUGUAAAAGAUUAUCAUAUUUUUGCCGUUCUAAUCAUUCAAAUUUGGUAUAUGGCUUGCUUGGGUACUCCUUUAUUGGCGAAAAUUUCUCAUCUGUAUUUUUCAGUUACUUUUUUAUUUUUUCAACAAACUCUUCAACUCACAUGCAUAAAUAGUAUUAUAAAAAAGUGCUAUAAUGUUAUUUUGAAAUAAUUUUGAAAUAAUCUUCUAUCAUAAAAAACAGCCAGCGUGCCAUAUUUCUUCUAAAAUGAUAGUUGUGUCAAAACUUGAAAAGAAGGGCAGAAAAAACCUACAUCACCCUUGAACUCUAAGUUUGUAAUUUUUAACCUUCCACCUAUUGAAUGAAUGCCUUUUCAACUCAACUACUAGGAGUACAUUUUUUUUUUUGUUUUGGUAAUAAAAGGGACUAUAUAAUGAAAAAACUUAAGUCAUAGGUGCAAAACGAGGGAAGCAAAUUCUUUUAAUAUCUGCAUCUACUAGAUUUCUCAAAUGAGGAGGGAAACUUUCAUAACACACAAGAUUGGUAUCUUACUGAACAUCCAGUUCCGUCAAUCUGUCACUACAUUAGUUUGCUUCUUGAUAAGCAAGUCUAAGUAUGACGUUCAGCAGAGCAAAGAUCAUGAACAUGCAAUCAGAGAUAAUUGAAGCAUACUCAUGAGUUGAGGUAUCAUGAAGAAGUACUAGGAGUACCUCGUUUAAGAGCAAAAUGUUUCAAUGACUCUCAAACUAUUAUGAAAUUCAACUUUAACCCUCAAACUAUUAAGUGAUAAGUUUUAGUCCUCUAAUUAAUUAAAACAUUUAAUUCUAAAAUUUUCGUCAAUUUGAGUCGUUAUGUUUAAUAAAGAUAAAGGAUUCAUGAGAUGUUAGGUGCCCUUAAACUAUUAUGAAGUUCAACUUUUGACCUUUCAAUUAUUAACUAUUAAGUUCUAACCCUCCAACUAAUUAAAAUAUAUAGGGAAAAGAGUCUCAAUAGCCCUCUAACUAUUAGCCAGAUGAACUUUUGGCCCUCCAAAAAUUAAGAGUAAAUUUUUUACCCUCGAUCUAUCGAAAGUGCAAAAUAUUGGACCUUCUGUCAAGUUCAGUCAUUAAGAUUGAUGGAAACUAACACCACAUGAAACUUAUGCUAAAAUAUGAAGGGCAUUUUAGUCUGUCUAGCAAUUUUCUAUUUGGUAAAAAGGGAUUUCUUCUCCAACAAAAGAAAAUCUCCCCGUCAGCUGAAGAGCUUCUACUCAAGUUUUUUGUUCCAUGUGGUUGCAGAUAAUUGAUUCUUUUUCUUUUUCUUCUUUGUUUUCUCCUCCAAAAGGAAUUUCUAGACAGAGAGUUUGAAUAAAUAAGUCAUUACCAGACAGAGAAAGUGACACUUCCAUUGUUGGAAUCCCACAAUUUGAGCAUCCAUUUUUCUUGCUUUCUCAUCUCACAAACUUCUCACUUUCUACUGCAGCUCAUUCUUCUUUGGCAUAAAUUAAGCAAUUCCCAAUAGUUGGUUACUAAAGCUGCAAGCUUUAGAUCUAUGAACCUUUCAUGCUCUUCCUUCAUUGUCAUGUGAUUGAAAGUUAUAAGAAUUAAGACGGAAUCACCCCCACUUAUGCAGCAGUUUAACUUCAAGGAACACCAUCGUCACGCUAUGUACUGUCUCCAUUAUUGUUGUUGUCAAGCAUUUUCUUUGACAUGAUAGCAGAAGAGAGGAGCCAGAGAUUGAAUAGCUUAAUUAUUUCUUGAAUUGACUUUGGUUGGGGGGAAGUGAGGAGGAGAAGUUGGGAAGGAGGAGGCUGUCCAUGUUGGAUUUGGUGGGGAAGGAGUGAAGGGAACAUCAUGUGGCAAUUAUGGUGGACUGAUGGGGCAGAGGCUAGAGAGAGCUUUAUGGAACCGGUAGAUACCAAAAGAUCAAGAAACCUUAACUUCAGCUAAAAUCAACACCAACUCAUCUUAGAAACAGAUCCAAUUCCUUCAUUCAUUGACUCAAAUCGCUCAAAAUCAACCAUUUCCUCUUGGUACUUGUAAUUCCCCAGCGGAAGCUUCAAGAGAUGUGCACUGGUGAUGAUGGUCGACGAAUUGCAGAAGCUUCCAACCACUUGUGGUAGGGGGAGAAAGAAUGGUAAAAGGCAACAAUUAAGUUACACUGAUUUUUACUCCUUUUUACUGAGUGGAUGACAGCUUGAACUAAAAUGCCCAUUGUAUUUCAGCAUGCAUCUCACGUGGUGUUGAUUUCCAUUAGUUUUAACAACUGAACUUGACAGAAGGAUUAACUUUUUCACUUACGACAGAUCGAGGGUCAAAAUUUGACUCUUAAUUAUUGGGGGGGCCAAAAGUUCACAUGGCUAAUAGUUAGAUGGCUAUUGGGACUCUUUUCCCAAAUAUAUAAUUCUAUCGUUUUCUAUCAACUUGAAUCGUUAUAUCGAAUAGAAACAUCUAUUGAUAAAGAAUUUGGACUAUGUCCAACCAAGUGUUUGAUAAAUUAAGAAGGUUUAGAUACAGUGAGGUAAAGUUUAGAGGAAUUUCAUAAAAGAAUUGAUUGUUUGAAAAUUUUAGAAAAUUCAAAAUUGAAAGUGAACCAAAACUUGUUGAAAUAUUCCCAAAAAAUGAAUUGUAUGCUAGGUUUAUGCCAUUAAGAGAAGCACAUGAACCUAAUGAUUGUGGAACAACAUCAAAAAAUGAGUUAAAUUAUAAAUGAAGACAAAUCAAUUAAUUCAAGUUGCCUAUUGUUACUAGAAUUUCUCCAUUCAGGGUUUUGGGUUUUACGUUUUCAAAUGAUUUUGGUCAAAUUCAGUAAUUGAAGAUUUGGUAAAUUAAUUUAUGAGUCAAAUGGGGUAAAAUAAUUUUACUCUAACACACGUUCUGUGAACACGAAAACACUCAUCAAUUAUGCCCUCAUCACACAUGUGGUGAUGUUUUUGUUUGAUGUAACGACUCAAAUUGACAGAAAAAUUAUAAUUAUAUGUUUUAAUUAGUUGAAGGAGUAAAAUUUAUCAAUUAAUAGUUGGAGAGUCAAAAGUUAAAUUUAUAAUAGUUUGAGAGCCACUGCUACACAUGUCAUACUAACACAGCAGCGCAAGUUAACGAAAGGGUUAGAAUUAUAUGUUUUAAUUAAUUGAAGGGUUAAAACUUAUCGAUUAAUACUUAGAACCAAAAGUUAAAUUUUCUAAUAGUUUGAGGGUCAUUGGAACAUUUUGCCCUCGUUUAAUGUAACGUAGUAAUAUGUGUCUGCUGUUACGUUUUUCCUUCUUCUCUCUCCUUAAAAAAAUAUAUAUAUAAAAAACAAGGACUGUGUUGUGCUAGACCGACUUACGGGAGCUUUGACACUGUAUUUUGCAUUGGGUUGGCAGUUUGGGCCACAGGAGGAUUCAUGGACCCGAAAUCUGUAAGAAAACUCAAACCCACAGACACAGAGGGACCGCAUUCUACGUAAAGAGAGCCCAAACUCCAAACCUCAUAGGAAAGCGGGUUCUGGACUCGGACUCAUCUCUCGUCCCUCAAAUCUAGUUAAACCCGACCACAUUCUUCAGAUUCAAAUCCGCUGGCUCAGCCUCAGCAGUCAGCAGUCAGCCAGCCAGCCCUCAGCCGUCAGCUCCGCUCCUCAAAAAUAAAAAAUAAACAAAACAAAACAAAACCUCGCUUGAAAGACCACCUGCCUUCCUUCGUUACGCCAUUCCCUUAAUUACUAAUAACUGGUGCUUCUACGAAAAUUUCCAGCUUUAGAGCCUCCUACUUUUCUUGCUAAAAUUUUCUUCUCAUUUUCCAUUUUCUACUCUUCUUUAAAAUCCCAACAAAACCCUCCCCACUUUUCCCAUUUGCUUCUAACUGCUACUCUGGAGUACUAGUAGUAGUUUUCGGGGAAAGAAUAGGAAAGGUUGAAUUUUGUAAGUGUGUCGUAUAUUCUUGAAAAUGGACGGAGGCUACAAUCCGCGAACUGUAGAGGAGGUGUUUAGAGAUUUUAAGGGCCGAAGAGCUGGUUUGAUUAAAGCUCUUACCACUGGUUCGCUCCUUCUGCCUGCCUCUCUCUCUCUCUCUCCCCCCUAAUUAAGUAUGUUUUUUUUGUAAAGUUUGCUUCUUCUUUUUUUCCUCUCUUUUUAACUUUCCGCGUGUUGUUUAAUUUUUGUCGCAGAUGUUGAAGACUUCUACCAACAGUGUGACCCAGGUAUGAGUUCUUGCUUCCUCUACCUAAAGUUAGUUAUAAAUGCCAGAAUUUUCAGGUUUUUGCUGUCACGGUGCUAUGUUAAAAUUCAUUAGCUGGGGUGGGAAGGGGAAGGAGAAUUCAUGCGAUGAGGCUUGAACCCUUGUUUAGACACGAAGAAUAAAGACUUUUGACGCAUGUCCGCUUUCUUACAGUUUUAUGCAAUUUACAUAUCCCGCCAAAAGGAAAAAAAAAAGAAAAAGAAAAAGAAAAGGAGAAGAAGAUGUUAUACGCUCAGAAUACGCAUUAUGGACUUCGUGAGAAAGGUUGGAAGUUUAAAUUUUGCCAUUGAGCUGGAAUCGGUUGUUAGAAAGGGGAGGCAGCAGUGGAAGAAAGCAAUGAAUUUAGUUUUUGGAUGGUUGUUCUUCCCUUACCCACCCCCUCCCCCAAAAAAAAAACACAUAUGUGUGUCGAUUGUAUUUCAAUUGUGUGUUGCAUGUUUUCAGGAGCGUUUUUCUCAUGCUUGACUCUUUUAUUGGCUCUUGGUGUCUUGUGGGAACGGCUGCUAUUUUGAUUUUUAGUUGUUGAAAUCUCCAUGUGCAACGGCAUAUCUAGUUUAAGAACGAUGAUCUUGGAGGAGAACUCUAUCGAUUAGCCUGUCUUUUUCAAAAUUUAUGGUGGUUCCUAUCGUGGCUGAUGUGUUAGUCUUCUUAUUUGAAAAGCAGAAAUUGCUAAUGUCAAUUAUUCUUUGACAGUAGUGGAACUUAAAUCCCAGUUGUUGUAUUUAUGUUGUUAGGCAUGUUUAUGAAACAAUGUCAUCUCCUUGUUACUGUGUGUGACUAUUCCCAUAGAAGUAUUGAGGUUAAAGAUUUUCAUAAUUGUAGCCUUGUCUGUUCUUUUGUGCUUUUUCUUCAUAUUAGGUGGUCUGUUGCUUACUCGGUAUUGAAGAGGCUAUGAAUUGAAAUUGCUCAAUCACGAUGACUGCCAAACUCAAUUUUAUAGGUCCCUUUUAUCUGUGCAUGGGUUUUUCUUUCUAUUUUUUAUUUGUUGGAUAUAGACAAUCAUAUCUUGUUCUUCAAAGGAACUUAUCUAUCCGCGGCCCUAGUCCUUGCCUUUAUGUUUUAGCUUUAGGUUUAUGUUUUAAAUUUUUAAUAAAUGUCUUGUAAUUAAAGCUUUGGCAUGUUACCUUGACAUGGAGUCUACUAUUCUUCUGUGUAUAUUACACGGGGUAGUCAGCCGUGUAAUUUGCAUUUGGUCUAUUUUUUUUUUCUUGGUGCAUGAGAAUUAUUGUAAUAGUAAGUUUAACUUUUGAAAUGUAUGGGUGUAGAGAAAGAGAAUUUGUGCUUGUAUGGUUUCCCAAGUGAGCAUUGGGAGGUCAAUUUGCCUGCAGAAGAAGUUCCUCCUGAGCUACCUGAACCAGCUUUGGGGAUCAACUUUGCUAGAGAUGGUAUGCAAGAAAAAGACUGGUUAUCUUUGGUUGCUGUCCACAGUGAUGCAUGGUUGCUGGCCGUUGCCUUUUACUUUGGUGCUAGAUUUGGGUUUGAUAAAGCAGACAGGUACGUGUUUAUUGACUUCUUGCUUUCAUCAAAGAGCUUAAAGCUUUUGCAAAUUUUAACAGCUAGCAAAUUCAUAGAUUUCAGACUUCCAAAAUAUUUUAAGUGGUUCGUGGACUUUUAGUUUCUUGGGGUAUACAAUAAACUCAAUAAUAUUUCAGUUGUUAGCAUCUAGCUGUAUAAUAUUGUUUGGAUUUUGUCAGUUUAAUCUUCUAGCCUUUGAGUAUCAUUCAGCCAAUGGUUAUUUGCUGACCUUAGCUGCUUACCCUGCAAAGAUUCUAAACUUGCAAAAAGGCAACCAGUGAAUUUUGUUGAGCAUAAAGAAUUUUAAAUAGGCUAAAGUUUAUGCUCAUGUCCUGAUUAUAAUUCAGGUAUACUUUGCAAUGCCACAGACAAUAUCGUAUUUGUUUGAUGUAGACAAUUGACUACCUUCUGGUGGAUUCACUUGGUUUCUCAUAAAUAGCUGCUGGGGGAGCAAAUUCAAAAUGGUACAUUGCUCUCCACUGUCUUGAGUUUGGGCGCUUCAUUCGCGGAUGCAUGUCAAUUUUUUAUUCUCUGUUUUUUUUAACAAGGAAUAAGUUUUCAUCUGUAGUUAGUGUCACCUGGGAAGAAUUUCUAUCCACUGUAUUACCACCUUCUCAUGGCUGAUGUGUUAUCAAAGGGCCAAAUUUUAUUUUUGGACUGUAGGUGAGAGUGGUUACCUCACACAUUCUUAUUAUCUGAAGGGGCUAAAUAGACAAGGACAAAGGCGCUGUUCGUGGGUGAUCAUUAAUCAAAAGUUCAUGUAGAUACAUAUUAGGUUCCUCGAAGAUUUGAAUUUUGAUGCCAUAUUGUUCAUAUCUUCACUUCAACCACCUUUUCAGCCAAGUCAGCAUGCCCCUUGCUUGAAAUGUUAAAAUUCGUUUGACAUAAUCAGAGAAUUAUAUUAGAAUGUUCAUCUGAAAAUGAAACUAAGCUGCUUAUCAGAUUUCUUGUAAGUCCCUCAUUAUAGUAGGUUCUUUUGAGGUUGCAUUGCAUGUGUUGCUUGAAGGACAGUAGCAGUUUUGCUUCCUUAAGUAUUGACAAGCUGUAUUGCAGUCUUCCUGAUCUUCAGAAGCAGCAAAUUUUGCUCUCAUAUUCUUGAUCCUGUACUCGAUGCUACACAUCAUUUCAGUUUUGACACAUUGAGUCUCUGCUGUAACCAGCAAGAUGCCUGAAAUAGCAUGAGAGACAAAUGUGAAGGACCAAAUAGUGGAAGUUGAAACAUUUCAGUAAAUUGGGAUGACACCAGUUGUUGGAUAUUGAAACAUGGGGGACUAAGUUGUGAUUGGUUUUAACAUGUAAACUAAUAUCCUUUGACUGAUUAUUUUUAUCUAUCCAUGUCUUUUGCUGUAGGAAACGGCUUUUCAGUAUGAUAAAUGACCUUCCUACUGUAUUUGAAGUUGUCACUGGUGCUGCCAAGAAACAACAGAAAGAGAAAUCUUCGGCACCAAAUCACAGUAGUAGCAAACCCAAGUCAAAUUCCAAAAUGGUAGAGUUGGAUUUUCUGGUGAUGGCUUUAUUUUAUUUUAUUUUUGGAUGUUUAAUAGCAUCUCCAUCAUUUUCCUUUCAUCUUCCUGUCACUUUAAUGUUCUUGACCUGCACUCUAAGUACAUUCCUUUCACUUUGAAAUAAUGCUUUGGAUGCUGGAUUCUUAAUCCUUUGCACAACCAUUUCUUACAUGUCUGAAAUGCUCUUCACUUUUUAUGUGACACAAGCUGCUGGCAUCUGUAUCGCAGGGAAAAUAUUCAAAGUCACAGCCUAAGGAUGAGGAUGAGGUAUUAGACGAGGAAGAUGAAGAAGAGCAUGGUGACACCUUGUGUGGUGCCUGUGGUGAGAAUUAUGCAUCGGAUGAGUUCUGGAUAUGUUGUGAUAUGUGUGAGAAGUGGUUCCACGGCAAGUGUGUGAAGAUCACCCCUGCUAGAGCUGAGCAUAUCAAGCAGUAUAAGUGCCCAUCAUGCAGCAAUAAGAGAGCUCGCACUUAAUGAGUGAUGUAACGUAGUAUUCAUCUACUUUCAGCCUCUUGAUGCGCUCCGUCUUGUCUAAGCGGUUAGGUUGCUUCUGUGUUUCGGAGCUGUAUGUAGAGCUAACCUGUGAGUUCAUACUUUUUUCUCCAGGAUGACAUUAUUUUGUGCUGUGGUGUUGCCAUUUUGUUUGUACUUUGGCUAAUUUAGUCCCCGAUUUACUGCUAAAAAGGGUUACAUUCUCCUAAUUUUAGUGCUAGGGAGGCAGGAGCAUUUUGUUGAUGUUCUCCUGUUGGGAGUUUUGACUGUCUCUCCUUGCAGAUGUUAGAUCACCAUUUCUCGACUCUGGAAACGCGCGCCGUUAGCUAUUAGUCUUUUUCUCCAUAACAAAUGAUCGUACCGUGUCUCAGAUUCAUGUCCUUAGCUCUUAGUCUUCUCUCCAUAGCUCUGGCUUCCGUUGGUUAAAGCGCACAUUCUAGACAGGUGAAAACUGACCGAGUAACUUGCCAAUCGUUUCGAACUCACCUAAAAAGAUCGGCGGACGGCGAAGAAAUACAUGGCAUCGAACUGACAAAAAAUCUUUUUCAUCUGGCAAUGUACCUCUGCUGCAUGCCCAAAAUGGAUUGUAGUGCAAAAUUGGAAUUAAGCGAGUCUCGCAUCUCUGCUUGUAAUUAUGGUUUUACCGAAUGUUUACAAGGUUCGAAGAAUCAUCGGCGCGGGAGGAGAUGAUCCCGGUGUGCCGGACGGAAGGAGGCCCAGUGGUUCCAUAAAAUAAUUUGUGGAUUGUUAUGCCUGGGACAAACAUAAGACACUUGCCAUACUGGACCGUACAAAAGUCUCUUUCAUAACCCUUGAUGCCUUGUCCAACAUCCAUCCAAAUACUAAAAAGCUAAACAUUUAACCAACGUAAGCAACAAAAUGCUCUUUAGCCAUUUAUUUAAAGCAAGCAUCUUGAUUCUGAUAAGUGAUCGGUUUCGCAGUACAGUUCUGUAAUCAGUGCACGAAAAAGAUUUAACCAUGGACUAAUCAGUGCCCAACUCCAUUCUAUGGUUUUAGUAUUUGGCUAUUAUCCAUAAAGACUGAAAAGAAGCAAUCCCUCCACGCAAAGGGAGCUCACAUUUUGGCAGCCACUUCCGAUCGACUAGAGCGAAGCUGGAAAAACUGACUUUUAGCUAAUAGAGGGGACCUCCCAGUAAAGAGUUUCGAGUUCCCAAAAGUUGUGGAAUAUACUCCAGAAAAUGCAUCAUGAUGCAGGAAGGUAUGUGUGUGGGAGUCGAAGCAAAAAAAUGGUAUGUACGUUAAAGUUGUACGCAUAACGAAACUAGCAGCUGCACACAUAAGACUGCCAUUUUGGUUAGGGUGAAGAGUUCUAGUUCAAGCAACAGCAGGAAAUAGAGACAACUUCAGACUUCAAAACAACCAAAAGAUUUAACAUUGCAUUAGUUGAAAAAGGAGAAGACAAAACUAAGCUUAUGCCCUGUUUGUUUUAUUUCGUAAUUCGUAUGUUCAUCAUGUCAAACCCUCUUGAUUCUUGGCGGAAAGCCGUUUCAAGAACUCAUAGGUAGUUAUCAUUGUGGUGGCAGACAUGGACAUUGAAGCCCAUCGUGGCCACAGCCCUCUGUAGCAAGCCAUCAAACCACCUUCUCUUACCAAAUUCCUGAACGUGUGUCCAAUGGUUGGCCCCUUUCGGCCAUUUUCGUCCCCAUCCAGAACCUGCAAUCUGGUCUUUAUGGUAUCCAAAGGCAUAGUAAUCACCGCGGAAACUCCUCCAGCCAUGAAUGCACUGACCCCUUGAACAGCUAUUACAGUUUUACAAUCAGGCCUUAAAGCACUAACACCAUUUUCAAACAUAUCAUCAUCUUUCUUGCACAAGUAAAAUCCAAUUCCAUCCCAAACCAGCCUCUGAGCAACAGAGUAGGAUGCCCACCAAACUGCAUUAGAAGGAGCAUAAGUCAAGAUCGAAAUCCCAAAUCCCCUGUAGAGUCCUCUGAGUCCAUCCGAAUUUAGGAUCUUCCUGAAGGCAUCAAUUCCAUUCAGAUACUUGGUCGAAGAUAACGAAUUACUAAAUUUGUGUCGAUUACCACCUUGCACCAUAAGGCGCUGGCUCACCACAUCAAUUGGGGUCCAAACCAUUUGUGCAGCCACUGCAGCACUUAAUCCAGCAGCAGCAUUAGCCAUAGCAGCUGCAGUCGAGUCUGGAAAGCCAACUUUAAUAGCAGUAGUCCCCACAUUACUCUUGGUAAUCUCCAAGACGGCCAUGUAUAAUGCCCUGGCGGGGAUUGUACCCAUUAAAGAAGUCCCAAAUCCUCUAUACAAACUGCGAAACCCCUCGUGUCUAACAAUCCAAAACGCAAUCCUAAUGGUAGAAACUUGAGAUUGGGCCACCUGUUGCCUGGUUUUUAACACCACUAUAGGAUAAAGAGUAGCUGAAACACCGGAAAAAAAGGCAGCUCCGAGGAAGAAAAACUUGGAUUUAUCCAGCAUUUUCCAAUCUAUAUCCGCUGGAAUUUUUACUUCUUGGGACGAUUCUUCUUCUUCUUCAGCAGCAUCCAAACUCAUCUUAGCCACUUUCAAAAAUCCCACUUUUUUUUUUCCCUGUCAACUACUGUUGCUCAAAAAAUUUUCAUUCUACUAACUUGACCUCCAUCUCUAAUAUGUCUAUGAAAACAAGUACAAACCCAUAUCCAUUAGAUCAUCAAACAUCUUAAAACCAACAAAAAUAUUAUUGUUACUAUCACACAAAUCCCAAAAAGUCUGGUCUUUAAAGAUUUUUUUGGAACUGCAGUUACUGCAAGCUCAGAAAAAAGAUCAAAACUUUAUCUGCUGCUGGAGCUACUACUAUUCACAAGUGCAGGAGAAAGUUGAGGUCAAAAUCCAAAGAGGGCCCUUUUUUUUCCUCUUGCGAAGCCAUUUUUGGGAUCUAACGUGAACAAUAGCAUACGGGUCUAACAUUUUUGGAUGGCUCUAACCGGCAAAAAAAGGUACAUCAUCUUCGACGGAAACGAAACGGUAGACCUGAUUAUAUCAAUACUACUGGAGGUAUCGGAUCUCGGACUUGUUCAGAAACUACAAUGGAAAUAAGCGGCUUAGAGGAGGAGAGAAUAAUCGGCAAGACCGAAAGGCCUGUUGGCGGAAGGUAGUGAGAGCGAGACGGGAGUGGAGGAUGAAGAGAAAGGCUGAGGAUUUUACAUUUUAUUCUUUUUAAUUGUUUGCAUCAUCAUUGCACGAAUAUACGAGUACUAAACAAGAGAGAGAGACGGGGGAAUGAAGCCUCAUGAUUGCCACGUGCAGCUGUCGGAUUGGUGUAAUAAAAUUUAGUUAGAGGGUUGGUUUGGUCUUUUCAAAGAGGUAGUGGGUUUGUUUGUCUGUACUGCGAUCUGACAAAGACCUGCGGAUGACUGGCCCACCACUUCUGACGCGUGAACCGUAUCCUAGCCGGACUCACACCUGGUGCCGGCGGGAAACGUUGGCAGGAGCGGUCAUCAGAGCGAUCGUUCUCGAGCUGUUAAUGAUCAUGAUUUGUUCUCAAUAAAUUAUGCGGUUCAGAUCAUAUAAGUUGUGUAUCGAUUUUCAUAUCGUGUGUGAGACCUAUAAAAUUUUGUAAUAAAGUUAUACACUAUACAAAUAAAGUUACGUAAUGUCAUUGUCAAGGUUCAGAUUUACCGUAUGUAUUUUCUUGUUCUAAGUACAUGCAGAGUAUAAUUCAAGAAAAAUUUGUAAUUGCUCGUAAAACUUAAGACUAAUUUCAAAAAGCAAGAGCUUCCGCCCAGUUGGAGAAGAUCCAAUCAUCAGGGAGAGUCUUUUUUUUUUUUUAAACUUUGUCACUCUCUCCGUCCCACUUUGAUAGUCCUGUUUUUCUUUUUCGUCUGUCUCAAAUUGUAAUCCUAUCUCCAAUUGAAGAAUGUAGUUGUAUUCUAAUUUUCGUAAAAUACCCUUAUGCAAUGUAAGUUGUUGUUACUAUAAACAUACCCUAUUUUAAUGAGAGUUGAUUCUUUUUUUAUCAUCAAUUCAAAUUCUCAUAAAGUUGUACUCCAAUUAAUGUGAGGUAUUUUUUUUUAUCAUCAAUUCAAAUUCUCAUAAAGUUGUACUCCAAUUAAUGUGAGGUAUUUUAGGAAAAUAGCUACCUAAAUUGAUUGUUCCAAUAAAGUUAACUAUUUUUUCUUAAACUGUGUGAAAAAAAACCAGAACUAUCAAAGUGAGACGAAGGAAGUAUAUACUAGGUCGGAAGUUUAAACCCUAUUUGUUUAGUGCAUCACACAAGAAUUGUAUUAUUUCUUAUAUUUAAAAAAUUCAAAGAAUAUAAUAACGCUGUUGUGUGAUUUGAUACUCUAUCUCUUAACCUCCACACGAUUCUCUUUAAACUCUCCAUAAAGUAUAUUUAACUCCAAUUCACGCCUCCUCAGGCUCCCUCCCUAUAAACUUUCCCCGUAGAGUGUAUUUAAUCCUAAUACGAGUCUAUUUCAGCUCCCUCCCCAUAAAGUAAGAAUAUAUUAGGUAGUUGCCGUUACAAAAAAAAGAGAAAAAAAAAAAAAAACUA